Molecule: long non-coding RNA, 2077 nt
Organism: Lathyrus oleraceus (garden pea)
Lineage: Eukaryota; Viridiplantae; Streptophyta; Magnoliopsida; Fabales; Fabaceae
Exons: 4
Source: RefSeq, a predicted model, not a curated record
UGGGAACGUGAGAGAAAUGCACAGUGAAAAACCAGAAACUCAAUCUCUACCUCACGAAGACCUCACUCUCACUCGUCCUCUCGAUCGCUCAUCUCCUGUCCUUCGCGCCUCUCUCUCUCAGACGCUCGUUCCCUCAAUCUCUCUCACUCUAAAACCUUCGCACCUCUCUCAAUCGCUCGCGCUUCCCUCUCUCACUUUGAACAUGCAAGAAUCCAUGGCUUUAAGGAGAAACAAAUAAGGAGGCUCACCUUCGGCGGUGACGACGGCGACGGUGAAGCUUAAAUCUUCCUUCUUCGCCUCUUCAAUCCAGUAGAUUAGGGUUUAGGGUUGGCCUAUGCAGAUCAAAACAGGUAUCUCUGCGAAACCCUUUUGGUGUGCUCAGUUUGGAUUGCCUCUUUGAUGCUUGUUCUGGAAUGUGAAUUUCUUCAUUGGUAGCAGCGACCACUCCAUUGGGACAAAAACUUGUAAAGUGAAUUUCUUCAUUGAUGUAUUUUCUACUGUAGUGACUUGUUGUAAAAAAGGGUUCGCACUUUCUGGUUCGAUUAUUCAUCCGUGGAGUAAGCAGUUUGGAUUUGGGGAAUAAUUCUUUAGCUCAUUUGUUUUUAUUGAUCCUUUUUGCUAUUGCAGAUUGAACGUGAUGCUUCAAUUUAGGUUUGAUGAUGGUUUGAUCCUAUGAAGUGUAGGUUGCAUUUCCAUUGUGUUGCUCACGAUUUGUGCGCCUUGCUUAUGCUGUAGGUUGCUUGCAGCUGCUUGAAGAAUGUGUUAUGCAGGGAUAAUAUUUAGAACAAGUUUGAGUUGAUCUUGUAGCAGAAAGGGCCUGUUAUGGUCUGUUAUUGUUGUUGUUGCUGUGUAAUUAGCUUGAACUGCUAGUGAUGGAAUUAUUUGUUGUAUGCACAUGUAUGGUAUGUUGUUGAUUUCUGAAUGCCAUGGAAGUUUGAGUUGGUUUGAUGGUGAUUAUGGCUUAUGGCUUGCUAUGACUGUUUGACUUGUUGCUAAACUGCUUGAAGUGUUACUGCAUUGUAUGGACUUAUGGAAUUUGGCCUUUUGUGUUUAUUUGUAAGUCCCUUUAUAAAUCACUUGGUUCAAUCCUCUGGUUGCAGGUCUGAUUCCUCAAAACAAACUAUAGGGCAUGUUUGUUUAGCUUGUGGACUUUUGACUUGGACGGUAAUGCAGGCUGGACUGUUGAAGAUGUUCCUUGUGGUUCACAGUUGGGUAAGAUAACGUGAAUCACGGCAGCAUCCUGAAUGGCUCUGUUUUGAUAGGUCUGGUUUUUUGACAACCUCUUCCUGCAUUCUUAAAUGGAACUGACUUUUGGAUGUAUAAUCUGGUGCAUUAUCGCCUCCUGCUAGAAGGUGUCUUGUGCGAAAAAGCCUUUGGGAAGUUAUUCGAAGUCUCCCUAGUAUCUCAUGCUUGGAACAAAAAAUUUUAGAAUUAACCAGGUCCAUUUGUAUGAUUAUGUUGGUUUUAAGUAUGGUUGUAAUUUUUUGUAAAGCAAUUGACUUAGUAUUUUAAAACAACGGUGCAAUCGAUUUAUGCUUGUAAUGUGACGGUGCGUCUGGUUUUGGUUUUGAACUCAGUUUUGGAUGGCUGUUAGGGAGGUUUGGCUUAUAAUGAACUUGGGAUGUGUCAUUGUUGGAGUGGUUUUUUUUUUGAAAUGCUUGUAAAUUGUAUGGAUGUUAGAAAUUUGUUAUGAAAUUGUUGUGAGUUGUCAUGAAGUUGAUUAGUUUAAAAUUUGGUUAGAAAUUAGAAGUGUUGAAUUGAGUUAGAGUGAGGUGCGGUGGAUUGAAGAUUGAAGUUGAGUGGAAUUGGAAAGUUCUGUUAUUUAGAGUAUGGAAAUGGAAUUUAUUAGGUUUUUGAACUGAGUUCUCAUAUUGGUUAUGAAUUGCUCAUUAUUUGCAGGUAUGCUUGAAGUUCUUUCCAUUGGUUGCUUGGCUUGGAUAUGGUUUGUUAGAGUAUAUGAUGGAUCCUUUGACUCGAGUGCUCGUGGGAUUCAAAUUCAAUGUUUGUCUUGGAGUUUGCUUCGAGCUCAUAGAAUUGGAUAUUGGUGCUGACUUGGAAUUGAAGCUUGUAGGUCACA